Molecule: long non-coding RNA, 787 nt
Filed under: Equus asinus (donkey)
Lineage: Eukaryota; Metazoa; Chordata; Mammalia; Perissodactyla; Equidae
Description: lncRNA (ENSEASG00005029511.1)
Source: RNAcentral
CAAUAACGAAAGAAAGACAAUCCUUUUAUCACCAGAAAAUAAGUGUUAGUUUUCAGACAACACUUCCGCAUCUCGAUGCCUGGGUGAUGUUUUUCAGUGACCAACACAGGACUUAGGAAAAGACGUCGUGUCAUGCUGUUCAAGGUCACUGAGAUCUGGCCUUGCCCCCAGGUGUCAGAGAAAAGGCCAUGUGAGGACAUAGAAGGAAAGUGGCCAACUCUGAGCCAGGAAGAAAGCCCUCACCAUAAAUUGAAUCAGCUGGCACCUUGAUCAUGGACUUCCAGCCUCCAGAACUACCCACUGAGGAAGACCAAGCAGGAGUUGCUUCAGAGGAGGCAUGGAUACGAACGUGGAGAGGGGAGAAGGAGAAGCCACUGCCUUGAGGAGAGUUAAGUGUCCUUUGAGACGGGAGUUAAGAUGUGCAAACAGAGGCCUAGGACAAGGAAAAUGAUCUGACUGAGAGUCCAGGGUAAACAGCAUUUGCGGAGAUUCAUAUGUAUCUGCACACACACCCUGAUCACUAAAAUUUAUCUAGACCUUUGCUAGACACUUGCGAAAGUGUGAUCCACCGGCCAGUAGCAUCAGUAUUACCUGGGAACUUGUUAGAAAUACAAAUUCUCAGGUCCUUCCCCAGACCUAAUGACUCAGCAACCUCAGGUGUUUCUUGUGCAUCUUAAAUUUGAGAAGUCCUUCUCUAGAAGGCUGAUUGGAGCUGGAAGUGGGAUGUAGUUGAAGAGGCUGGGGGCAUGUUUUAAUCCUGGCUUCAGAGGAUCAGAAUAAAAUCCAC